UACGGAGGGUGCUAGCGUUGUUCGGAAUUACUGGGCGUAAAGGGCUCGUAGGCGGCCAACUAAGUCGGAUGUGAAAUCCCCAGGCUUAACCUGGGAACUGCAUCCGAUACUGGAUGGCUUGAAUCCGGGAGAGGGAUGCAGAAUUCCAGGUGUAGCGGUGAAAUGCGUAGAUAUCGGGAGGAAUACCGGUGGCGAAGGCGGCAUCCUGGACCGGCAUUGACGCUGAGUGAGCGAAAGCCAGGGGAGCAAACGGG
This 254-nucleotide ribosomal RNA is filed under the name uncultured bacterium. RNAcentral's name for it is "partial 16S ribosomal RNA". It matches the Rfam family "Bacterial small subunit ribosomal RNA", at positions 524 to 776 of the family's 1533-position model. The record is from RNAcentral.